RNAcentral lists this ribosomal RNA (253 nucleotides) under uncultured bacterium. RNAcentral describes it as "partial 16S ribosomal RNA". It matches the Rfam family "Bacterial small subunit ribosomal RNA", at positions 524 to 776 of the family's 1533-position model. The record is from RNAcentral.
UACAGAGGGCUCAAGCGUUGUUCGGAUUCAUUGGGCGUAAAGGGUGCGUAGGCGGCGCGGUAAGUCGGGUGUGAAAUCUCGGGGCUUAACUCCGAAACUGCAUUCGAUACUGCCGUGCUUGAGGACUGGAGAGGAGACUGGAAUUUACGGUGUAGCGGUGAAAUGCGUAGAUAUCGUAAGGAAGACCAGUGGCGAAGGCGGGUCUCUGGACAGUUCCUGACGCUCAGACACGAAAGCUAGGGGAGCGAACGGG